This 16804-nucleotide long non-coding RNA is filed under the name Homo sapiens (human). RNAcentral describes it as "non-protein coding lnc-WDR70-7:2". Lineage: Eukaryota; Metazoa; Chordata; Mammalia; Primates; Hominidae. The record is from RNAcentral.
GGGGCAGCAAGGGCGCGCUGGAGGCGGCGGCCAAGACUCCCGCCGCCGCCGCCGCCAACAGGGCGAGGGCUGCCGGCAACUCUCCCGCCGGGCCCCCGCACCCCCAGAAGCCGAGGUCCGAGCAGCCGCCGCUGCUUUGGGUGGGGGGCUGACAGGGCUGCGCGCGUCGCGCUCUUGGCUGGGGCUGCGCGGGCCCGGGGCGCUGCGGGCGGCUCAGCGGCAGCUGCCGCGCUCUGCGCCUCCUCUGGGCGCACUGCCUGGGAGCACGAGACUGGUUUGUCUGAUGCUGCUGCCGGAGCUGAGGUCUUGCCUGGAGAUCCGAACGAGACACCACGUCAACCGGCGCGGGGAGUCCCGUGAAGACAUGAGGGCGCCAGGAGCGCAGAUGAGGACAUUGAGGAUCAGAGAUGUUGAAAAACUUGCCCAAGGAUGCACAAGUGGAAUGGUGACUGUUGUCUCUUGGGCACAGGUAGCUGCCAACAGGUGAGCCUCUCAGCGGAUCCCUGAUAGAGGUAGGAUGGCAAAUAGCUUCUUUAAUAUGACAGCCUCAGUGUAGUGGCUGGCAAGGAGCUGCGAUUGGGAGGAACUGGAAGUGACACCCAAGCUCAUUGAGCAAGCAUGCUGUGAGUGCCAUGAUAAAGUGAAGAGCUCAGGAGAAAGAUUGGAUCAAUUAUAGAAAAUAAUGAAGGUACAUUUUCUUUGCAUAACUAAAUGUAGGGUAAGUACAUUUUGAAUUUGCUAAAAUUGUCUUUGCUCUGCCUCUGCACACGUGUGCACACGUGCACACACACAAAUGGCACUUCUGGGAGUUUUUCCUUGCUACCACCUCCUCUCAAUAAUCAAUGCUCACGAAAGCAUUUGUGAGAAAUGUGGAGUUUACUGUGGAGAUUCAAAGGGAAGAUGAUGGAGGUUUCACUGUAACCCCCACAACAGAUUCAUAUUCCACUUUGAUACUGUGUUCAUCAUUUCCAAUAUAUACCUUUUUCCUAGUUGAGUAUUUGAAAUCUUGGAAACCAGACUCUGUCUUGCUGUGUUGGUGUGUCAUAGUAUAAUUGGCAGCAUGUUUCCUUUGGUAGCAAUACAUAAGACAAUGGUGUGUCUUAUGUUGAUGUCUUCUUAUAUUUGAUAAAAUCUUUUAAGUCUACUGCUUUGCAGUCCUUCCUCAACUGCAAGCAGAGGCUUCCCCACUGAGGCCAUUGAGUAAAGUGGUUCAAAGUACAGUCUGGAGUCAGACCAUCACUUACUAUCUCCACCAUUCACAAGCCAGGUAACCUUGGGCAAGUUACUGAAGGGUUCAGGGGCUUUGUUUCCCUACCUGUGCAAUGGGGAUAAUAUUAUUAACUACUUCAUCGGAUUGUAGUAAGAAUUAAAUGAGUUGAUAUAUAUAGAGAAAUUGGAACAGUGUCAGGUGGUGGUGACUUCUAGAAAAGUAGUUGUUCUUAUACGUAUUACCUCUUUAGUCCCCUCCCACAUAGGCCCUGCCUCCUGUUACCUAUUGCUUUUUCUUUCCUCCCUUAUUUUAUAAAUAAUACUUCAGUGACCGCUGUUUGCUAUUUGAACACAACCUUGAGAUCUCUCCUCUCCUUCCCAAAUGGCUUACCUAAGUAUUUACUCCAAACAAAUAUGUUGUCUUUUAGAGAUACUCUGAUAAGUAAAGAUUGCUGUAUGUAGUAACAUAUUUUUAUCAUUAUUUCUGAUGCAUCUAUGGUAGAUGCAAGAGAUAGUAAGAUAUGAGCUUGACUGGAGCUGAGCUAGCUUGUUGGGGAGCAUUAGGAAAUAGGAUGGAAAAAAGAUAGGUUGGAGACAGAUGGCACUUGAAGAAUCUCCCCUUUGAAAUCUUUGGUAAAGUCUACAAUAUGAUACCUCUCCAUACAUCUCUAAGGAGGCUUUGUAUUUUGAUGACAGCCUUGAAUGCUAGGGACACCCAGCCACACGGGCUAACUCAUACAGGGCAGAGAGGACUUUCACCCUCUUUAAUUCACCGUGUAUGAGUGGCAAUGUUUCUUCCCAAAUAUAUGGCUGGCCCUAGGAGACAAGUCAGGGCAUGUGAGCUGUGGAUGUGAACUGAGAGAACAGUUGGGGCUUAGGUGAAAAGUGGAGAUUCAGGAACUCUUCAGAUAUAGUGGCCUUAGGGAAAGAUAGAUGUAUUAGGCCAUUCUUACAUUGCUAUAAAGAAAUACCUGAGACUGGGUAAUUUAUAAAGAAAAGAGGUUAUAUUGGCUCAUAGUUCUGCAGGCUAUACAGGAGGCAUAGUGCUGGCAUCUGCUCAGCUUCUGGUGAAACCUCAGGUAGCUUUUAAUCGUGGCAGAACGGGAAGCGGGAACAGGCAUGCCACAAGUUGAAAGCAGGAGCAAGCGAGAGAGAUUGGGGAUGGUGGUGGGGGGUGUUACAGACUUUUAAAUGAGCAGGUCUCAUAACAACUCACUCACUAUUGUGAAGAUGGCACCAAGCCAUGAGGGAUCUGCCCCCAUGAUCCAAACACCUCCCACCAGGCCCCUCCUCCAGCAUUAGGGAUUACGAUUCAACAUGAGAUCUGGGUGGGGACAAAUAUCCAAACUAUAUUACUAGGCAGUAACAAAGAGACACCCGGCCCUUCUGGGUUCAAGGUGUGCCACAGGCCUGCAUGUCCUCCUAAGCUUUUCUUAGGUGGUGCCAGAGUUUGAAUGGCUGCAGUCCUGGCAUAUUCCUCAGUGAGGCUGGAAAAAAUAAUCCACUCCUGCAAAUGGAAAAUUUCUUCUGUGUAGGGUGAGCACUUCCAGCUCCAGAAAUGAAACAUGCUAAAGGCAGCGUGUGACUUGGCAUGGGGUGACCAGUAACCCAACUGAUCGGUCCUCUAACCUGUUAGUUCAUUUUGCUGGUGAUCUUGUCCAUAAGGGCAAACAACUUUCUAGCUGGUCACCUUUGGAACAAAGUAAGAGUUUUUGAAAGAGGAUUUAAAAAAAUUCUUUUUUGGUUUGUUUUGGGUUUAAUGAGUCAAUGCUUUAUUUUACUAUGAGUGUUUAUAACCAGACCUAAAUGUAUGUAGGAUCUUGAACCUCCCCCACAACUAUUUCCUAUUUGUUCCCAGAAAAAUUCCAAUGCCAGAUUUUGCCAUAGCAACCAGAGGCAAAUAUCAAGACAGCAAUAAAGAGCAAGCUGGAAAAGGGUUUCCCUACAAUGUGGCUUGAGUUUCUGUAGGGCAUUCCAUCCUCCGUGUGGAGCUCUGGAAGGCAAGAGGGGGCCCUGCGGUUCCUCGUGGGGGGGUCUGGUAGAGUCCAGAUUUGCCAGCAUCCAGGACCCACUAGGAAAUGUGUCUGUCAGGCAGCUGGGCUGGAGCGGAAGGAUCAGCUUGCCUGCUCCUCGGGCUUGGCACCUGUUGUGUGUUGAUCUUUAUUUUUGUACGUCAAUUUUUCAAAAUUAAAGGUAUUGAAUUAUUAUUUUUCCAUUAUGCUUUUCCUCUGAGCAGUUUAGUAAACAAGCCUGUUCUGUAUUUCCUAAUUGUCCCCUCAAGUGCUCUUUGGAAGAAGGCAGUGCAUAUUUAAAAGUAAGCAAAUGAAACCAAAGAACAGGAGAUUCUUCCAAUAUCUGCCCACGAUGUCCCUCAUUCUGUGUCCUUCCUUUUUGUCAUGGUUGUUAGGUAAUGUUAGGAAGUCCCACUUCUUUCCCAUAGGUAAAGUCAUCUCACUACAGUAUAGCCUUCUUGCUGAAAGAACUUUGGGCUUCCGAGUUACUUCAGGUGCUGGUUUGGAUUAGCGGUGUGUUGAUAAAUGUUUAACAACUCGCUCGCAGACAUAAAAUUGCCUUGAUUUGUAGAGCUGAUUUGCUGAUUUCUGUGGUGUAAAUCCUCCCACCAUGGCAGAUUUCAUCUUACCAGAGUGACCUCAUGAACAUGGAACUGGAAAGAGAUGCACACAUUUAACUCUCAUGCACUGGUAAGAGCUGGCUGCCCCACACUGCUGGUUCUACCGAUCUAGGCCUGGGUUUCUCAACCUCAGCACUAUUGACAUUUUGGGCAGAAUGGCUGUUGGUUAUUGGUGGCUGUCCUGUGCAUUGUAGGAUGUUUAGCAGCACCUGUGGUUUCUACUCACUAGAUGCCAGGAGCAACCCUUCCCCACUAAGUUGCAACAACCAAAAAUGUCUCCAGAUUUUGCCAGAUGUCUCCUGAGGGGCAAAAUCUCCCUUAGUUCUGGGCUAUUCUGCACUGAUAGUGCUUAGAAGGUCCAUUCAGCAGGCAGUAGGCCUGCACUGUUAGCUUUUCCAUGAACCACUCUGAAUAUGCACCCAAAGAAGUUCUCUCUUGGCAUUUUGGAUGUGGUGCAUUAGUCUGUUCUCAUGCUGCUAAUAAAGGCAUACCCGAGACUGGGUAAUUUAUAAAGGAAAGAGGUUUAAUGGACUCACAGUUCCAGAUGGCUGGGGAGGUCUCAUGAUCAUGGCAGAAUAUGAAGGAAGAGCAAAGAGAUGUUUUACAUGGCAGCAGGCAACAGAGCCUGUGCAGGAGAACUCCCCUUUAUAAAAUCAUCAGAUCUCAUGAGACUUAUUCACUAUCAUGAGAGCAACAUGGGAAAGUCCUGCCCCCAUGAUUCAGUCACCUCCCACCGGGUCCCUCCCACGACAUGUAGGAAUUAUGGGAGCUACAAUUCAAGAUGAGAUUUGGGUGGGGAUACAGCCAAACCAUAACAUGUGGUAUUGCAAAACACUGAAAGUGUGCUUCCUUGGGUAGUCUUGAGAAGAGUCAUGCUGUAAGGACUUAAGGCACCAAAAAAUUAAGACACAGCAGGGCCAGUAGGAGAGCAUCAGGGUAAUUCCACUAUAGGAUAUAUCCUAUAUCCAUUAUAGGAUAGUUUUGACAGACUGCAGAGGUCCCUUAGGCAAACCUUUCCUUUGUAUGGGUGAGAAAUUAGACUCAGGGACAAGGUGUGACUUGUCCAAGGGCAAGGUGUGGAUGUGCUUGGACAGUCACAGGGGUGUUGUGGUGAAUGCUGUGAGACGCCUGUGUGACAUACUGGGAAUUAGAACUGACUCCAACUUGUAGCUAAAUGUGUUUUGCGGGCUUUUCAAUGUUGGGUUUGGAUGGAUAUAUUCUGACAUCUCCCUGUCCCCUACCUCUCUGUCCCUUUGGAAAUAUCUGCUUAUGAAAACCAUAUUAUAAUGAGGGAUUUCUGUUUCAGAUAGAAUUAUUCCCUUCAGCUUCAGGAGUGAGUUGAUUAUUCACAUGUUCUUUUUAGGGGGUUUAAGCUGCUAGUCCUUAAAGAAUAGAUGCUGAAGGUUGUCAUUGAUUCCUCUUUCCUUCCUCCCACGUCUGCUCUGGGCCUUCUCAUUGAUGUAGUAUCUUAGGUUACUUCCAAAAUAAUUUGAGAAAUGGAUUUAUAGAAGAAGCUAGCUUUCCAGUAGAAAAGUUUAGAUGACAAGAUUAAUGUGAUAAGAACUAAGAAAGCCCUUCCUAGUUUUCAUUGAAAAUGUGUUUUUAAUGCCCAGAGGUGCCCAGUCAAAAAGGAAAUAUUACAGAAGGAUUAUUUUCAUCAGCAGAGUUCUUGGGCAUUGCAAGUUCCAGUGUAAUUAGGGAAAUCACAUGCGAGUACAUCAAUACACUUCAGAUGCCAAUACAUUGGGCUUAAUGAGGACAACAAGCCUGCUUUUAUUAGGGGAUUGAAUAAAAGUGAAAGGAGUUCUUGAAAAGAAUUGGUAAUUUUGGAUGGGAUAAUUCAUCACUUCACUCCAGAUCAGUUUUUCACAGUAAGAAGUGCUGGCUCUUCAGAAAAUUUGGCAUAACCAAAGUUUAUUGUCACUAUCUCCUCCUUCUCACAUUGUCCUUUGUCGCACCCCCAGCAGGUCCACAGUGAUCCUGCGGGCCACCCCCAUGGACCCUGCCCGUUUUCUUCCAUCGGGGGCUAUCUUACGUCAGUCUUUCAAGGUCUCCUCAGUAAUGCAGGCCAGUUGGAUUUUUGCUUUCUUUUCCCAGAGGACAAUUCAGCCUCAGCGUCUUAGUCUAAAAGGAUUCAUGCAAGCGUGUCAGAUGUUUUAUUAGGCUAAGGGGGAGGUAUUUUGGGUUGUGGGGAGCACUUACUGCAACCCUGUAUGAAAUUCCCUACUCAGUGAUGUUCAGGCUGCACGGGCCAACAUGGAAAGGGCUUAAGGGAGAUGACAAAAACAAAAUCUCUUCUUCCACAAAGAUUUUCAGUUGAUCAAUUUUGUUACUUUUUUGUGAUGAAACUAUCUGCACUGCAGCUAAUGAUUUUUUUCUGAAGGUGGAAAAGGUAGGAGCAACAGCUUUCAGUUCUAAGGAUACAUUCUGUUGACCUUCAUAAGCCCUAGGAACUAGAGGGGCAAGAUUGAGGAGGAAAUAGAGAAAAUAAUUUGCUCUAUAGUAUUUUCCCCCUGAGCUGCCAUCUGGGGCUUUCAGAGCUUAGCACUGCACUCUUGCAAUGUUGCACACACCACAGGAGCAAUAUCAAGAGAUGUCAAACAUGAGUGGUAUUGGUCACUGGAAACAGCAGAUUCCAAAUAGCUGUCUCACCAGACUAUUCUUUCAGAAGAUUCAUUUGUGCCAACUACUUCUUUGUCAUGGAUCCUUCCUGGUUCUGCAACACAGAUGUGGAAAGUGAAGAGAACACGUCAUGGAAUUCCAUUUCUAAGAGUGGAAAAUAUACAAUUUACCAUGGGAUGUUUAAGAUAUUAAUAUAUUGUUCACCAUGUGUAUCCAGAGCUUUAGUAGAAGUAGGUUAAAAGAGCCGUGCAUGUAUACACGGUGCUCCUCAUUGUCAAACGCUGAAGCCUGUUACAGGCUGGGUUUGGGGGCUGGGGGUACUUACGGGACAAAGUCUGACUCUCGGUCUGUAGGCUGAGUGCCUUCUUAGUGUGUUGGGACUCAGCAUGUAUUCACCCCAUCUGUACUCACAAGCCUAAUUCAUUAAUCAGGAUGACUUACUGGGCUGUGAGCCCUUUGAGGACAGGACCUUGUACCUUUAUCUUGUGCCUCUCAUGCCUAGCAUAGCACCAGGCAUGUAACACGUUCUUUUUAAAAAAGUGUUUUACAGCUUUAUCAAGGCAUACAUGAUGUCAGAUCAACUGCAUGUGUUUAAAGUUUUACACUUGAUGAGUUUUGAUAUAUGUCUAUACCCGUGAAACCAUCACUGCAAUCAAGAUAAUAAACGCAUUCAUCCACCCUAAAGUUUCUCGUGUCCCUUUGCAAGCCACCCCCCUUCCUCCCAUUGUUCCCAGACAACCACUAUUCUGCUUUCUGUCACUGCAGAUGAGUUUGUGUUUUCUGGAAUUUUAUAUAAGUGGAAUCAUACAACAUGUACUCUGUUUUUCUGGCUGUUUUCACUCAGCAUAAUUUUCUCAAGAUUCAUUGAAGUUUUAUAUAUUAAUAGUUUGCUACAUUUCAUUGCUGAAUAGUAUUCCAUUGUAUAAAUCAUAAUAGGCACCUAACAAGUGUUUGUGGCUUUACACUGACUUGAAAAUUAAUUUUUAAGAAUAUAAUUGGGCAAAAAGUGGACAAUGGGAUACCACUCUAUUCUUGGUGAGUGGGUUCACUCAGGAAGUGGAAAUAAGAAUCAGGAGAUAAUUUGGCAUGGUAGAGACUUUUGUUGUCAUCCAAUAUCUAUUUUUCCUUCUUUCUUAGUACUGGAAUACCUGAGUUUUGGCUGGGCACAGAACUGUCUGGAAUACAGACUGCAAUUCCCAGCCUUCUGUGCAGUUCUGUGUGGCCAUGUGACUAAGUUGUGGUCAAUAUGAGUCACGGAAGAAUAGAAGAACAACUCAGAGGAGGAAGAAGUCAGACAUAGCCAGACACGGCUGCUAGCAGUUCCACCAAUGAAAGAGGAGACCAGGAUGUUUAAAACAGGCAAACACAAGGUGCGAAAAACCAGAAGCGAAAACUUCUGAGGUCAUUUAAGCAAGGACUAUCGUUAUCCCCGGAAGCAGAGAGAAGUUCCCUUUGCCCAACAUCACACUGCAAGCACGUGUUGGAGCUGAGAUUCAAACCCAGGCAUCCAGGGUCCAGGGCCCAUGCUUUUAAUAUAUUCCAUAUCUUAGGAGAAUUUCCCCUAUUUAAACAAUAAAAGUGCAAAAAUCUUGUGGCUAGCCAAAAUUUUCAGUUGUUUGGAAAACUUAUUUAUCCAAUAAGUGGAAAACUCACUUGUCCUCCAACAAUUCUGGAUAAAUGAAAGAACGAAUUGAACUGAGACUGGAAUCCGGGUCUCCCAGUACUUUGUAGUUCCUAUCCAUAUGGCUUGUCAGGAAGGCCACAGGGAGGUUAACUAACUCUGCGUAACCAGAAACAAUCCCACAUCAGACUGUUGGCAGUGGGAGUGGAACACUCAGAGCUGAACCGCAUGCAAGAUGGUUGCAUUUUCAUUUGCAAUGUCGUCAUCUUCCUCAUGGCUAAAGAGGUAUUUUGGAGUUGACAUGAAGGCUACUGUAAUUUUUAGAGGCAUUUUCUUUCUGGCCUGUAUUUACAUAUUGUGGUAGAAGAGUCAGAAGACUUCAAGCUUCAAAAGUGAAUCUUGUUGCGAGUUACAAAAGCACCACCCGGUGGGGUGCAGCUCUCAGCAUGUGUCACCACAGGCACUGUGAUUUCCCUGUCUUCAUCCAACUUUGGUUGCUGUUCUUCAUGCUCAGGAAUUCUGCAACUGCUGUAGCUUUUGCUGUUGUUAUGUCUGUAGGUAUGGACUCAUUUCUACCAUUCUGGAAUGAAACAUUAUUUCAAGGGAAGCUUCUCAUUGUAAAAGGUCCACACAUUCAGAAGGAAACUGGGAGUACAUUUUCUCAUAGGCCUGGAGCAUUAACUGACUAUGCAUCUUUCCCCUCAGUGUUGUCAUCAUGUUGUAAGGGGAUGAGUCAUGGACAACAUUUUCACACACAUACGUGAGGUCCAUUGACCAGUCUUUAGGACAACUAGAAAUCUUUUCUUUCUUUGUUUUAAAAAGGAAGACAAGUCAAGAUACAGCAAAUAAAAAUGCUCAGCACAUUUGCUGAAAUCUUAGCAAAAUCAAAUUACUAGUAAUUUGUUAAUCACACUAUACCUGUUUUGAGCCAAUCCUACUUAACCCACCCUCCAUCUUCCUCAUGCUUGCCUCCCUGGUGAACUCCUAUUUAUGUUACAAAGCUCAGUGUUUAUGUUACUACUUUUGUGCUAUUUCUGAACGUUAAAUGUACCUCUAUUAUAGAACAUAUCUCAUGGAAUAGUUAUUAUUGCAUAUCCACUGCCCUUGUUAGGCUGUGAGUGAGCUUUCUUUCUUUCUUUUUCUUUCCUUCCCUCCUUCCUUCCCUACUUCCUCCCUCCCUCCCUCUCUCCCUCCCUCCCUCUCUCCCUCCCUCCCUUCCUUCCUUUGCUCCUUCUCUCUUUCUCUCUUUUUCAUUUCUUUUCUUUUUUUUUAAAUUUGAGACAGGGUGUCACAAAUAUGAAUGGGACCUGUGAAUAUGAUGGCUGUCACUCUCUGAUUAGAUUACAUUAUAUGGCUAAGGUGAAGGAAUUCUGCAGAUGUAAUUAAGGUCCCAGAUGAGUUGAUAUUGAGUUACUCACAAAGGAGAUUAUACUGGAUGGCCCUACCUUAAUCAGGGAAAAGCCCUUAAAAGAGGACUGGGCCUUUCCUGAAGGAGGACAGUCCACUGCUGGCUUUGAAGCAGUAAGCAGCUGUGUUUUAAGGGGGCCUAUGGAGGGGCCCAUGUGGCAAGGUCCUGAGGGUGGCCUCUAGGAGUUGGCAGCAGUUCCCAGCCACUGGCUAGCAAGAAAACAGGUGGUUCAGCCACAUAGCCACAAGGAAAUGAAUUCUACCAACAAUCCAAAUGAGCUUGGAAGUGGAUAUUUUCCAUGGUCAAGCCUCCAGACGAACACCUUAACUGUAACAUAUGAACAGCUGAGCAGAGGACCUGCUUCAGCCAUGCCUGGACUCCUGACUUGUGGAAACUGAGAUAACAAAUGUAUAUUAUUUUAAGCUGGUAAGGUUGUGGUAAUUUGUUAUGCAACAAUGCCGAAUACAGUAGGCAUCUUAAAUGUUUGUUGAACUUAAUUUAAUCAGGGAAAUAUAAUAUUUAAAAGGAAUCUUUUCUAAAGUUUUAGCCAAUUUAAUGAAUGUAGAUAUCUUAAAGAAUUGCCAUCUUCCUUUGGAUCUUCUAGCCAUGCAAUCGACUUCACAAACUUCCAAGUUUUCAUAAAUACCAGCUUCUGAUUGUCUGGAAACAGGAAGUGAGAUUCUCUCCAGCCAUCAUUUGGCAUUCUUGGGAGAUAGAAUGGAUAAAAAUUGAUGUUGAAAUGAGACCACCAUCAUUUUUCAGUCUGCUCACCACGUACAGAGCUCAGGAUGAUUAGAAAAUGUAAAACACAUGUGAGUGGCUCAAACCCCUUUAGUUAAAUCACAUUUACAUAGAUCAGUUUUCCCAAGGGAUAUAAGUUAGCUGAACUUAAGCAAUUAAAAAAAAUAAAACUAAACUAAAACCUUUUGCUAAAGCCAAAAAACAUGGAUGAGUUAAACUGUAUCAGAUGGAAUGGUUUGUUUUGAAAAGUGUUUGGUUUGUUGUCUAUAUACGUGCGUGCUUUUUUAAAAGGCAGAUAGAAAAGCAGAACUUACAAGACCUUUAGCUGCUGAGGUGGAAAGCCAGUAUUACUUCUACCACAGCAGUUGAUAUCAUCGGUCUCACCAGCAGGUCACGGAUUUGUUGCUUGCUCCCUGUGACAAUCUUGAACCAUUGUAGGGACCUUGGCAUAUAGAGGGACGGUGAACAGGGCUGAAAACAAAAUUGAACUCAAUCUUGAGCUUGGUAUUCCACCGAGAGCAGGUUUUCUGGGCUUUGAAAUACCGCCUCAGAGAGACCUUCCUUGAUAUUCUGCCAUGUUGAGAACAAGAACAAACUUUUUGGCCCUGGAACCUCUUCCCUCCCAGUGCCAACAUGUUCAAUUUCAUUUGCCCUUGGCUAAAUGUAGCUUCCUGUUUCUAAGAAAAGAAGCAGAAAGGGGCUUUUGAAGGCCUCACAGACAGUCUCAGAAGGCUUCAUGGGCAGCAGACAACUCUUAGCAAACAACAAUUUGAUGAGUUAAGUGUAAACGGCUCAGAGACAUAUGGAUUACAUUUUUUGGGAAAUACACAUGGGCUUACAAUGUAAAACUGGGUAGUGUGGGGUGGGGUGGAGAAGGGAAUGCUUGGAAAAGUGUGGUUUGGGUCUUGCUAAUUGCAAAAUAUUUGAAACAAAUAAUUUGAGAUGUUUUGCUCAACGUACAGCGCGGUUGGAUUUGCCCUUUCCAUCUAUUUACGUGUCAUUUUCAGAUUCGGCUCACAUACCAAUACUGGUUUGGGUCUUGAGUUGAUUUUUAAAAAUGCAGUUAUUUUGAAAGGUCAUGCCAUGUGAUUUCUGUGUAGCCUCUGAGCAUAAAGGGUGGGGUGGUAUAGGGGAAGAACUGGGCAUUUAGAAACCUCUCUGCCUGUAGGUCAAACUGCUGCUCAGCUCUUCUGGUAUAUUCUACUUAUGGAGGUUCCAAAUCCAGGCUGUGUUAGUAAGAUGCAGCAGCCUCAGUCUCCCCACCUGUAAAAUGGGGACAGUAAUACUUAUCCCAGAACCCAUGGCGAUUGGGAUGCUGUGUGGUGUGGAGUUAAAGUGUGGACCCUGGAGGCAUAUACCUGUGCAUAUCCCAGCUCUGCUGCUGAUGUGAGCUUGGGCAAGUUCUUCAGCUUCCCUGGGCUUUUGUUUCUUCAUCUGUGUAAUGAGGAAUAUCUUAGCAUCCACCACAUAGGGUUACCUUGAGAAUUAAAAGAUUUAACCCAGUCCCCGGCACACAAUAAGUGUUCAGCAAAUGCUAACAGUGGCUCUUGUUGUUUAUAAUUUAUCUUGUUCUAUUAAGUAUAUGAAUACAGUAGAUAAUAAGGCAAAUUCACCUCCAGGCUGGGGAGAGGAAUAGCCCCUUACCAAACAGUGAGGGUCUCCUUCAGCUUACCUUCUUUUUCUUAUUGUUUCAACCUAUGGAUUAAUUACCUAGUUUUGUGACCCCAAAAUAAAAGGGUAGAUUCCUUGAUCUAAAAUUAGACUCAUCUUUUCCCUAUCCUAGGAAGGAUCCGUUUCUCUCUUCUAUUUUACCACUGUCUAGCACCUGGAGACACUUGGUUUAAGAGCCCAGCUAGUUUAUACUAGAGUGUGAGGGAAUUCUGAGGGCUCAGGUGGAAGGAAAGCAUGAUUCCAGAGUGUUGUUGGGUUAAUGCAUUGCUUCUCAACCCUUCCUGCACAUUAGAAUGAAUUGAGAAGCAUUUCAAAAAUAAUAGAAAUGUUAGUGUGGGGCUUCGGUAUUAGUACAUUUUUUAACUCCCCAGCUGCUUCUAUUGCGCAGCCAGGACUGAGAACCACCCUGGCUAAGGCAUUCAGUGGCAUUGUAGGUGCUUCCCUGGGUCGUUUCUGACUCGCCCCUUUUAACUCACUGGCCCCUCGGACUCUGAUUUCUGCCCUUCAUGCAGUGGGAGAGCUUUCCUCUGGGGCUUGCCUUGAGGUCUGCAGGAGCAAGGCCACUUCCUCUCUGAAUCCUAGACACAGGCUUUGGGUCAGUACUCCCACCCACGUGGAGCCCCCUUCUGCCCCUCUGCUCUGGGGGAUCUUGUCUGAAUCCAUCCCUUCUUUGCCUGCCUUAUGCCUUCUAGCUACUAUUCCUCUGCCCUUCCUUUCUUGAUCAGCACAAUUCUGCUGCUUUAAGUCCUUUUUUCCAUUAACCAUUGACUGCCCUUUGCUCUGUCAAACAUAGUUUUGGAGGCUGUGUAGUGUAGUGAAAGAACAGGGAAUUUGAGGUUGGACCUGGGUUUAACUCUCUCCUUGAUUGCUGACAAGUUACUUAACCUCUACUCAUUUGUAAACUAGGAAUAAUCUGACCUGGAUGAGACUGCUGUGAAGAUGAAAAGAGGUAAAGGAGGGGUGAUGGUGUGGUAGUGGUGGCCUGGUGAGAAUGACGGUGGUGGAGUGAUGGUGAUAAUGAGAAUGAUGAUAAUGGUAAUGGCGGUGUUGCGGUGAGGGUGUUGAUGUGGUGGUAGUGCUGAUUUUCGUGGCAGGUGAUGGCUAUAGUGAUAGGGGUGGUGGUGAUGAUGGUGGUGGUAGUUGUAAUGGUGACUGUGAUGGUGGUGUUGAUGAUACUGGUGAUAGCAGUAAUGGUAGUGAUGAUGGUAAUGAUGGUGUUAAUGAUGGUGGUUUGAUGGUGGUGAACAUGACAGUGGAGGUGGUUGUAGUAAUGAUGAUAAUGAUUUGGUGGUGGUGGUAGUUGUGGUGGUGGUGGUGAUGGUGGCAGUGGUUUAGUGGUAAAAGUUCAGUCAAGAAAGAAGAAAGCUGGAGGAACCAACAGUAUUCUGAUCAGAGGAACCACAUGGGAAGCAUUGACAGAGGGUCUUUGCAUUUGCUAAGGCCAUGGGAGUAGCUGGUUGUAUCAGUUAGCAUUUGAUCAGGAAAUCAGAGCUACUCUGUAUGACACGGAAUAAGGGAUUAAUCAUAGGGAUUAAACUUACCCAUUAUGAAAACUAGUAAAAAAGUCUAGGCAAGGCUGUUGCCUCUGUAUCUGGUGUUGGGCUUGACGUUUCUUUGGGUCAGCAGGGCUUACAGAUGGGACAGAAAGUGGAUGGAAAGGGGAGAGCAAGAACAAACUGGACCAUGUCUCUGACUCUCACCACCUGCAGUGGUAACACAGUGACCUGCAGGAAAAGCCAAUGCCUCUCAUCUCAGGCCUGGACAUGCACCUGGGUCAGGACUCUGGGCUGGAGGAGACCCAGGGAGCCGGAGGUACUGGAGCCCUGCUCCAUCAAGGUGAGGCAGCAGGUCUGAGAUAUAUGUGAGCUGCUGCUGCGCCGGGUCCCUAAUUAAACCUCCUGAGUGGAAUGGCUACUGCUUCCCUUCUGCCUUCCAAUCUUCUCACAGAUUUCUCUUGUUGCCAGCUUUAAUCUGGAACCAUAGAGGAAGGAACUUUGGGAAAUGUGGUUCCUGCUUAGUUCUGGUGGCACAGCACAAGUCACUGCCGAGGGGUCCCCAUGUGGAUUGGAUGGGUUAAAAGCUUCAGCACCUGUAGUGGCCUGUGCAGUCUACUUGCUCUGACAUUUCAAGCCUGGAGAGGCAAGGGGGACAAGAGCUGAGCUGAGGGCCAUGCCAGGGAACUGGACAAGGAAGGCCUUGGCACUCUCAAGUCAGGGAAUAGCCUCGCCAUUUCAUCUCAUCCCCAGAUGCUGGAGUGCGUUGGUCUCCCUUCUAACCUCUAACCACUGAAAGGGACCCUCUGUACAACCAAUCCUUGACUUUGGAAUCAUGGGCUGAGUAAGGCUGAAACAUUUAGCCGUCUUUGGGACCCCAGUAUUUCCCUAGUCUCACUCUAGUGUCUCUUGAAGUGGCUGUCUUUCAAGGUGUUGACCCUACUCCCUGUUUCUAACAUCUGCCUGCUACAUAAUCCAGCUGGACUUCUCAGGUAUCCCUGGUGGCUGAACUCCUUAGACCAGGGAGCUCCCCUAGUGCCUCUAGUGCUGACAAAGUGCCACUUUGCAACAGUUUCUGCCCUUUUCCCGGUUCUCUGGCUUCUAAAGCCUUCAUUUAUCCACAGAUAGAAAUACAAUCAAUCCCAUCCUUACUCUUUCUUUUGACAAUUUUCUUCAUCAGAUAUACACUUAGAAUUUAACUCAACUGUGUUCUCUCCUAUUUUGUCGGUCACUGCUGUAACUUACAUGGAAUCAUGGUUGGGUGGCAGGGACUGAAGUAGUUAGUUCUCACUUAUUUACUGUGAAAUGAAUAGUUUGAGAUUCGGUCAGUAGUCAGAAUGGUAUUCUUCACUUCCUCCUUUUCUUUAUUUACUAUGCUACCUGGUUUGUGAACAUUUUCUCCAGCUGCAAGCAAUUUACACAAACUGUAAACUCUUUAUCCAUUAUAAUCCCUGUAACUAUGCCUAGAGACUGGAAAAUGACCAGUUGUCAUUACAUUCGGAAAAGCAUAGAAAGGAUCUCCUUACUUGUGGCCCUACACCUGGUACUUUUCAGAUAGUAGAUGAGUUAUUAGGAUGAUUUGCACCUCAGUUUUCUUAUCUGUAAAAUGGGAGGGUUGCCUUGCAUUUCAUGCUGUGUUCUUUGAUGCCCUGGGGGAUUGCCGGAUUGCCAGAGGACUCAUUGGGAAUUUGGGGAUGGGGAAGAGCAUGUGUCUAGAGGGCCUUCAUCCCUCAUUCAACUAGCAAAAAGCCACUUAUUCUGUGUUAUAUAUUUGGUUUCUAUGAGAGAUUGGAUUAUUGGUCAGCAAUAAAAAUCACUCCCUUCCUUCUUCCUCUUGGAGCAGACCGUAACUCCCCUGUUCUACUGACUUUGGGCUUGGCUAUAUGACUAACUUUGGCCAAUGAAAUGUGGGAGGAUGUGAUGUGAAUAGAGGCUUUAAAUGUACUUGCAUGGUUUGGCUUACCUCUUGUACUCUUCUGUUUGCUGUGAGAAUAUGCUGCAGGGAGCCACUGGUCCAAGGAGAAGAAGAGGGGUGUAGAACAGACCUAAACCCAACCUGUAGCCUGAAACAGAGCCGAGUCCAGCCUAGAUCCACUUAUAGUCAACCUGUUGAUCUGUUAGCACAAAAACACAUGCUGCCAUAAGCUGUUGUGUUUUGUUACACAGCUAUAGCUGUCUAAUUCAGCUUACAAAUAAGUUUUGUCCAUAAUCAUAUUUUUUGGUUUAAAAAAGUUUGAAAACCACUGGGUUUGCUGAGUUUUCAGCUUUCCCAUCCACUUCUACUGUCCUGUUUCUUUCUCUUUGUGUAUUUAGGAAAGAGAGGGAGAAAGAAAGGGUUUUGGAAACAACACAGUCUGGUAGAAAGAAAGAAAGGAUAAUUUUUUUCUUUUGAGGAAAGAGGGACUUAGGGAGCUGGGAGGAGAGAUAGGCACAUUCAUAGUUAAAGUAUGUUUUGUUUCUUUUUUGAACCCUCAAGUAAACAUUUCUCCACUGACAUUGUUUUGCACUGUUACAUUAUUUUGUUCACUUUAGUGUUCCAUUUGUACAACCUCUGAAAUUCCAGGAAGAAGGUGAAAGAAUAACAUUGCACAUAGCCCUGGGUUGUGCUGUGUUUACUUCAUGAUGGACCGUUCACUUGGGCUUAACCUUAAACUGACCUUUCUGAUUCCAGACGAGACAGCAAAGCUUUGCUCACAGAUUCAAAAUCAGGGAACAGAAACAGCUGACUUCCCUGGCCAAGGAUGUUUUCCAUUCUCAUUAUUUUUGUCCGUGGUCACAAAUGAGAUGCUAGGGAAGUAAUUUUUAGGAAUUCCUGGAGUACUUUACUUCUGAUGUGCAUGCACAGAUACCCUGGGGUCUUAUGCAAUUGGUACCCCACCCCAAAGUCUGGAUAUAUUCGUUGUAGGAUGAAGAGAGGGAGGAAGGAAGGAGGACUGAGGAAGGUCUUAGGCUAUUUUCAAGCUCUUUUUUGCUCCGCACUUUGCAACAUGGUUUUAUUUUAUUCUUAUAAGUUUUGAGAUCAUCUCAAAUAUAAAUACAAAACCAUUGAUCAAAGGCCAAGAAUAAGAAAUAUUUAGAUGCCCUCUAUUGCAGUGAAAAAGCAAAUGGUUGCUAUAUCAUGCGUAAAGGUAAUCUCUUCAAGGAUUAGCACUUUAGGUCAGAUCAUGGAAGCCUGGUUUUGUUUCUCAGAAAGAGUGUCUUUCUGGGGCUUGGGAGGCCAACACGAGGCAGGCUGAGCUUUGUCUAUGGCAGGAGCUGAGUUUGAGUCUAUCUCUGCCAUUAGCCUGUGCUCAGGUUGUGUCCCUACACUGAUGGCCAUCAGAAUUUGGGUAUCAAGUGAUUCGCUUGCUUGUACUAGAUUGAGCUCCUUUGAGGACAACAGGAGCCAUUAAUAUUUUAGAGCCAGA